RNAcentral lists this ribosomal RNA (402 nucleotides) under uncultured prokaryote. RNAcentral describes it as "partial 16S ribosomal RNA". The record is from RNAcentral.
CCCUAUGGGGCGCAGCAGGUGGUGAAGCUGGAUUUGCAACGCACGAUAGAGAUUGCGAAUGAUAGUUCCUUGUCCGCUUUCAGAUAUCAGAAUCUUUAUUUGUCGGGAUAUUGGGAAUAUCGUACUUACAAGGCGAACCGUUUGCCGAGUCUUACGCUGGAUCUGACUCCGGCUAAAUAUUAUCGCUAUAUCACCCAGCGUUAUGAUUCGAAUGAGGAUAUGGAUGUGUAUCGUGAACAACAGAUGUUCAGCGCAUCGGGUGGAUUGAGUAUCAAACAGAAUCUGGACUGGACGGGCGGUACUUUCUAUAUUGAUUCGGAACUGGACUUUAUGCGUAAUUUCGGUGACUCAAAGUCUACACAGUAUUCCAGUAUCCCUGUGCGUGUGGGAUAUCAACAGAGC